This 623-nucleotide unclassified non-coding RNA is filed under the name Aspergillus jensenii. RNAcentral's name for it is "sequence contains ITS1, 5.8S rRNA gene, ITS2". The stretch from base 200 to 353 matches the Rfam family "5.8S ribosomal RNA". The record is from RNAcentral. Lineage: Eukaryota; Fungi; Ascomycota; Eurotiomycetes; Eurotiales; Aspergillaceae.
UCGUAACAAGGUUUCCGUAGGUGAACCUGCGGAAGGAUCAUUACCGAGUGCGGGCUGCCUCCGGGCGCCCAACCUCCCACCCGUGACUACCUAACACUGUUGCUUCGGCGGGGAGCCCUCUCGGGGGCGAGCCGCCGGGGACUACUGAACUUCAUGCCUGAGAGUGAUGCAGUCUGAGUCUGAAUAUAAAAUCAGUCAAAACUUUCAACAAUGGAUCUCUUGGUUCCGGCAUCGAUGAAGAACGCAGCGAACUGCGAUAAGUAAUGUGAAUUGCAGAAUUCAGUGAAUCAUCGAGUCUUUGAACGCACAUUGCGCCCCCUGGCAUUCCGGGGGGCAUGCCUGUCCGAGCGUCAUUGCUGCCCAUCAAGCCCGGCUUGUGUGUUGGGUCGUCGUCCCCCCCGGGGGACGGGCCCGAAAGGCAGCGGCGGCACCGUGUCCGGUCCUCGAGCGUAUGGGGCUUUGUCACCCGCUCGAUUAGGGCCGGCCGGGCGCCAGCCGACGUCUCCAACCAUUUUCUUCAGGUUGACCUCGGAUCAGGUAGGGAUACCCGCUGAACUUAAGCAUAUCAAUAAGCGGAGGAAAAGAAACCAACCGGGAUUGCCCCAGUAACGGCGAGUGAAGCG